Mycobacterium sp. E787 is the source of this 100-nucleotide non-coding RNA. Lineage: Bacteria; Bacillati; Actinomycetota; Actinomycetes; Mycobacteriales; Mycobacteriaceae. The record is from Rfam.
AAGCGACCGAUUCGAAGCGCUGGGAAACGGGGUAGGAAACCAGCCGCGUGCGACCUAAGCGUCAAACGCCCCCUAGAGUCGCCCGGGCCUGCCUAUGCGG